GACGAACGCUGGCGGCGUGCUUAACACAUGCAAGUCGAACGGAAAGGCCCUGCGCUUGUGCCUUUCUCGAUUGGCGAACGCGUGAGUGACACGUGAGUAACCUGCCCUUGUCUGUGGGAUAACUUCACGGAACUCCGGCUAAUAUCGGAUAUGAGCUCCUGCUGCACGUUGGUGGUUGGAAAGUUUCGGCUGUUGGGGAUAGACUCGCGGCUUAUCAGCUUGUUUGUCGGGUAGUGGCUUACCAAGGGUUUGACGGGUAGCCGGCCUGGGAGGGUGACCGGGCACAAUGGGCCUGAGAUACGGAGCAGAAUCCAACGGGCGGCAGCAGUGGGGAAUAUUACACAGUGGGGGCAAGCCUGAUGCGGCAACGCCCGGUGCGGGAUGCCGGCCUUCGGGUUAUAAACCGCUUUCGAAUGUGACGAAGCGUGAGUGACGGUAAUGGGUCAAGAAGCCCCGGCUAACUACGUG
This 468-nucleotide ribosomal RNA is filed under the name uncultured bacterium. RNAcentral's name for it is "partial 16S ribosomal RNA". It matches the Rfam family "Bacterial small subunit ribosomal RNA", at positions 28 to 507 of the family's 1533-position model. The record is from RNAcentral.